RNAcentral lists this ribosomal RNA (254 nucleotides) under uncultured archaeon. RNAcentral's name for it is "partial 16S ribosomal RNA". It matches the Rfam family "Archaeal small subunit ribosomal RNA", at positions 728 to 982 of the family's 1478-position model. The record is from RNAcentral.
AUUAGAUACCCGCGUAGUCCCAGCCGUAAACAAUGUGCGUUAGGUGUGUCGGUAACCACGUGUUACUGAUGCGCCGAAGAGAAAUCGUGAAACGCACCACCUGGGAAGUACGGUCGCAAGGCUGAAACUUAAAGGAAUUGGCGGGGAGCACCACAACAGGUGGAGCCUGCGGUUUAAUUGGAUUCAACGCCGGACAUCUCACCGGAUAAGACAGCUGAAUGAUUGUCAAUCUGAAGGUUUUACAUGACUAGCUG